This 1286-nucleotide long non-coding RNA is filed under the name Salmo salar (Atlantic salmon). Its description in RNAcentral is "lncRNA (ENSSSAG00000088232.1)". Lineage: Eukaryota; Metazoa; Chordata; Actinopteri; Salmoniformes; Salmonidae. The record is from RNAcentral.
UCUCUAUCGAAAAUACAGCAUCUCUGCUGUAACGUGACAUUUUCUAAGGCUUCCAUUGGCUCUCAGAAGGCGCCAGAAAGUGGAAUGACGUCUCUCCUGUCUCUGGGCGAAAAACAGCAGGAGAUAUUGUCAGUGGUCAGGCUGAGAACAGUGACACUGGAGAUGCACGUUCAUGUAAAGACUCCAUUUUCUAUUUUCAGUGUUUGAACGAAAACAAGGUUUCCCGGUUGGAAUAUUAUCGCUAUUUUACAAGAAAAAUCGCAUAAAAAUUUAUUUUAAACAGCGUUUGACAUGCUUCGAAGUACGGUAAUGGAAUAUUCUGAAUUUUUUUGUCACGAUACGCGCCGGCGGGUCACCCUUCGGAUAGUGUCUUGAACGCAAGAACAAAACUCAGCUAUUUGGAUAUAACUAUGGAUUAUUUGGAACCAAAACAACAUUGGGUGUUGAAGUAGAAGUCCUGGGAGUGCAUUCUGAUGAAGAACAGCAAAGACACAUUUUCAAUGAUGUAUGAAAUUGGAGUUGUUCUUCAACUGGUAUGUCAAGGGUGUCAUAAGGAUUGGACCAAGGCGCAGCGGAGUGCGAGCUGAUCAAGGGGUCGAAAAUGUAGAUAUUGCCAGAUGUUCACUAUCCGAGGAACAGGCCGUGGAAGCUUUAUUGCUGGCAAAAGUGUCCAUAACCAGAGGUUAUAUCAGCUGUGUUGGUGAACCCCUCCCGCAUCUGAACAGGCUGACACAGAGGGCACAGCAUGAUCAUAAGUGAGAGGUCACUUGGUUGGGUCAACAGUAUGUUUUGAUGUAAGAGAGGAAGCCAGUCCCGUCAUCGCCACCUCACCCGUUCUUAAGAUAACCUUUGGGCCAACUGUGGGCCCAUGCUGGUUAGGAGACACCGCUAGAGACACUGUAAUUGUGAUGAACUGAGAGAAUAUUAGGGUAGCUCUGUAAUUAAUUAAUGAUAUGCUGUCUGCCUCUGUUCUUACCUCUUUCCCUUUGUCUUCUACACCUCUCUCCCCACCUCAUCUUUCUUCCUUGUUUUAUAAUGCACAGCAUAUGUGCAUUGAAGUACAGAUUAAUAUUAUAUUAUAAAUACAAGUUCACAAUUAUCAUAAUUAUAAUGCAUGUAUUAUGUAUUUAUAACACCUGGAUAAUGAACUUCUUUCAAUAAAGCGUUUCACAUUCUCCACUGGUUGAAAUAUUAUCCUUUGUCCUCAGAUUAAUGCAGAUGAAGGGAGUUAGAUAUGCAUAGUUUUUUAUUCUGUAUAUAUGAAUUAAAAUCAGCCUUUAUUUAAA